GGUGGGGGGACGGGGGAAACUGGGGAAGAUGUGUGUGCUGGAGGAGAGGCGUAGGGGCCGAGGAGCACCUCGGCCGUCUGGAGUCUGGCAAGGGUGGUGAAGGUGGAGGGAUUAGAUCCUGGAGGGAAGGAAGAAGGAGCCAGACAUUCAUCCCGGUCAUUUUUGGUUACAGGACGUGGUGGCUGGUCGGACAAGGGGGAGCUGCUGGUCAGGGUUCGACCCCCAAGCCUGGGUGGAGAAGUAGCUGGCAACAGUGGGCAGGUGAGGGCUGCGUCUGCUGGGCAGGUGAGUCCGCUUCACCUUCCUGGACCUCGCUUCCCUGGCUUCUGAAUGAAAGAGGUUUAGGGAGCGAGGGCCAGCAAGGAGAAGUGGCAGGCCUCCUGCAAAGCAGCGGAUGAAGGCAGAACGGUUAGCAAAGGUGACAUCUUCUCGGGGGGAGCCGAGACGGAGCAAAGCUGGGGGGGCUAUGGGCCUUUCCCAGGGGAAAGAGCAAGUUAAGAGGGCAGAAUGGAAAGAAUAGAGGGAUGCCAGCAGGGCCAAGGCUGCUGUCUUCAGGAAGGUCACCUUGGGGACAGUAGCAGGGGCCACAGGGAUCCAGCACGUGUGGGCCCAGGUCAAACAUCAGGGUGGGGUCACAGGACACAGAGGGGUCCCCAGCCAUCACCACAUCCCACUGCAAUUCACUUAGAAGAAGGUAUAGGAGCGGCUCUGGGUGGGCUUUUCAUGGCCUGCACUGGAGCCUCGAGGGCCGGAGAGCGGGAAAGAAGGGCAGUGCAGCAGGACAUCAUCGGGGAGGAACGGUGGCCAUGGGUGGUGGGCUCCGGAGAGAUUUCGCAGCAAGGAGGCUGCAGCGAGCCCAGCCUGUGGAUUCACAGUUCCCACACAGCACUGCGGCCCAGGACCUGGCGCGGAGAGGGCCCACAGUGGACUUGGUGACACUGUAUGCCCUAACCGCUCAGCCCCUGGGUCCGGCAUGACAGACAGAACAGCACCAGGGGAGUCAAGGGCACAAGGCAAGGCCAGACUAGGCGAGGCAGGCGGGGCGGAGUGGGUGAGCACUCUUAGGAGGGAGGUUGGGUGCAGACAGGGUGAGGUUCAACAGUCGGGGAGCGAGCCAGCAAGGCACUGGCCUCCAGAGCCUGUGGCCAAGGUGGGCCUCGCAGGUGACGACGGAGCAGUGAUCGGUGCCUCUGCAACUCGUACUGGAGAUGAGGCCAGAUCUCCAGAAAGGCGGAUGUGCCUGCCAGCCUGAAGGCCAGGAUGCAGGUGCGACAGAUACGCUAAGAGGAAGUGAUAUGGUCCGGUGUGAUGGUGAGGCCAGAGGGACUGCUUCCUGGCCUUCCUGAACAUUCUCGGCUGGCAACGUGGAGACACUUCCACGAGGUCUGUUCCUUUGCUUUUCCGAAAGAGCUACCACUGCUGCUCUCUGGACCCCCAAGAACCCUCAAAAUGAAAGAAAUGGUGCUACCCAGCUCAUGCCUGGGACUUGGAACUGAGGACUUCUUCAAGUCUAUCUAGCUCUGGAUCAAGAAUAUGCUGCAUCCGGAACCACUACACUAAGUGACUCAGGAAUCGGCUCUGGAAGGUAGAGCUAAAGGAACAGCCUCAGGAACACCAUGGAAGAGCAGACCACAGCACUCCCCACCCCGGCAACUCCAUCUUCAUGGCCAGCCCCUGCUGCAUUCGGGAGACCACCACCCCACACGCCAUCCCGGAACUGAGCCUCUUCCGCAGGAUGGAGCAGUCAUCAUCGCCUCUCUCUUCUGUUCUUUUUCAGCCUUUCCUGUUCUCAUUUCAUUUCUCAUCUUCUUUCCAUUUCUUGAGAGAUUCAAAGCGUCCAUGACUCUGUUUCCCCACUUGUCCCCUUUGAAUUCAAUUUGCACUAAGUCGUUUGCACUGGUUGGAGUCCUGGAGACAGCAUUGAGUCUCUCCGUGUGUGUGCGUGUGUGAGUGUGUAUGUGUGUGUAUUCCUCCUUGACCACACUGCCUCAGUGCCUGCUUGUUCACCCACCGCUGGCAGGCACUGGGUGUGGUGUGGGCUGUGUGCGUGAGGUCUCGCCUUCCCCCACCUAGUCUGGAAGCUCCACACCAACGAGCCAUCUCUAAGCAUUCCAUGACACCAAUCUUGCCUUGUGUCCCUCCCCACCAGGGCUUCACCAGAAGCUCUGGAUCCACAAUAAAUACCGUUACAGUA
This is a long non-coding RNA of Cavia porcellus (domestic guinea pig), 2194 nucleotides long. RefSeq lists it as uncharacterized. The record is from RefSeq and is a predicted model, not a curated record. NCBI's taxonomy places the organism in Eukaryota, Metazoa, Chordata, Mammalia, Rodentia, Caviidae. The transcript is spliced from 5 exons.